Oryzias latipes (Japanese medaka) is the source of this 1076-nucleotide long non-coding RNA. RefSeq lists it as uncharacterized. Lineage: Eukaryota; Metazoa; Chordata; Actinopteri; Beloniformes; Adrianichthyidae. The record is from RefSeq and is a predicted model, not a curated record.
CUAGACUUACCAGUAUUUGGGUGCACACAGUGGAGUGGAGCACUGGUUGCAGCCUCUGUUUACCUCCUGUCUUCAAAUCUUCGGUUAAAGAAAAAGCCUUUACCUCAAUCAUCUCAUAAAUCCAGCUCAGGAAUUCAGCCACCUUGGUGUAAACCCCCGGAUGGUUUGGCUCAGCGCAUCCCGUACCCCAGCUGACAACCCCGACCAGCCUCCAUACAGUAUCUUCCUGGCAAACCAGAGGACCCCCGCUGUCUCCCUACAGAACUGGAAAUAAAUCCAGGCGUCGAGGGGUUAAAUGAAUUUUACGAUUGAGGCAGGUUUGGUGAGUCACCUUAGAUAACCCAGCUGUUUGCAGACCAGCGUUCCCAGGGAGGAGUUCCACCUAUCAUAGCACACUGGCAGCCAGAUGUGAAGACUCACCUAAAAACCAGACGCCAACAACAACGCCUCCCAGAAGUCCCACUGCACACACCGCUGCCAGCAGCCUCACCAGUCUGUGAGCUAAAGCAACAGAAAUGCUGGCAUGAAGGUUCCUUAAACUUUGAUGUGAGCUGAGAAGAAUGAUUCAAUAUUACCGUGAGUCGUGGAGUGGACGCCCUUUAACCAGCCCUGGACUCCUUUGGCCCCCACAACGGCUGUUGUUGCUUCUGAGGGAAAAUGAUGAUUGACAGCUACUGGGUUCUCAAUCACUGAUAACGCAUCUCCAUCAAGACUCUGGAAAAGUCACAGCACCCUUUUUAAAGCUCUUUAAAAUCUAUUUUUCUAUGUUUUUUCACUAUUUUACAUCAUCUUGUUACCUCAGGAGAUGCCUUUGUCAACUGUCAUUGAAAUUUCUAGCUCACUGAAAGUGACUUGAAUGCAUUUUUUCUAAACAAAACUCCAAGUCAGUAUGUCUGUUUAAUGAUAUUAACCUCAAACCAAAGCAAAUAUUGUUGCUUUUGUGUGCAUACCUUGUUACCCAAUACGUUUUCUUAACUUGAAGACAGCUCAUUUUGAAACAAAUGCAGAGUGUUUUAUGUGUUUGAAUCAUUUUUUCUGUCCACAAAUGAUGGGAUGUCAACAUGGUGACAGAAACA